This 412-nucleotide ribosomal RNA is filed under the name Bacillus toyonensis. RNAcentral's name for it is "bacterial SSU rRNA". It matches the Rfam family "Bacterial small subunit ribosomal RNA", at positions 505 to 918 of the family's 1533-position model. Lineage: Bacteria; Bacillati; Bacillota; Bacilli; Caryophanales; Bacillaceae. The record is from RNAcentral.
GUGUCAGCCGCGGUAAUACGUAGGUGGCACGCGUUCUCCGGACUUAUUGGGCGUAAAGCGCGCGCAGGUGGUUUCUUAAGUCUGAUGUGACAGCCCACGGCUCACCCGUGGAGGGUCAUUGGACACUGGGAGACUUGAGUGCAGAAGAGGACAGUGGAAUUCCAUGUGUAGCGGUGAAAUGCGUAGAGAUAUGGAGGAACACCAGUGGCGAAGGCGACUUUCUGGUCUGUAACUGACACUGAGGCGCGAAAGCGUGGGGAGCAAACAGGAGUAGAUACCCUGGUAGUCCACGACGUAAACGAUGAGUGCUAAGUGUUAGAGGGUGUCCGCCCUUUAGUGCUGAAGUUAACGCAUUAAGCACUCCGCCUGGGGAGUACGGCCGCAAGGCUGAAACUCAAAGGAAUUGACGGGG